This 76-nucleotide transfer RNA is filed under the name Campylobacterota bacterium. RNAcentral's name for it is "tRNA-Glu". It matches the Rfam family "tRNA". Rfam says of the family: Transfer RNA (tRNA) molecules are approximately 80 nucleotides in length. Their secondary structure includes four short double-helical elements and three loops (D, anti-codon, and T loops). Lineage: Bacteria; Pseudomonadati; Campylobacterota. The record is from RNAcentral.
GUCCCCAUCGUCUAGUGGCCAAGGACCCCGUCUUUUCGAGGCGGCGACAGAGGUUCAAAUCCUCUUGGGGACGCCA